This is an RNA transcript of Macrobrachium nipponense, 2526 nucleotides long. RefSeq lists it as uncharacterized. The transcript is spliced from 5 exons. Lineage: Eukaryota; Metazoa; Arthropoda; Malacostraca; Decapoda; Palaemonidae. The record is from RefSeq and is a predicted model, not a curated record.
CUGUCUUAAAGUUGGUUGAAGAUGAUAUUAGAGAGGUGGUGGUUAUUUGCUAUUAUCUCAAUAAUAGCUGUGGUAAACAUUUCUGUGUCAUCAGUCUUUUCCAGUAAAAUGUAUUUGAUGCGGAGUCAUGCUGGGGUUUUUUUUUUAUUGAUACGUUAGUUUUCAUUAUGCCUAAUACUGUCUGGAAUUGAAGGUGAUACAUAUUGUUUGGUGAAUUCGUGAGAGAGAGAAUUAUGGGUGGGUUGAUUUAAUCUUCAUGUUUGUAUGAGUGGUAUAGUUUAGUAUCCUUUAGUACAAUUUGUUCUAUGUGGAAUUAUGCUAUAUAGUAUUUUUUUCUUAAUAAUUAUUACUAUAUUUUUUAUGGACCUUUAUAACAACAUGAUCUUACAUUGUCGGUGAUUCAGUUUUGAUAACCGUUAACAUAGCUUGAAAGAAUUUUAGGGUUUAUUCCAAUUUUUAUUCAGUGUCUGAGUGACUCAAUGUAGUGUAAAUUGCAUGAUGUAGUAAUGGUUGAUAUAUUUCAUUCAGUCCAUAGCAUGAAUGCAGUUUAGCUGCUUAUGGGUAAUCUCAUGCUUUUGUACUAAAUGGAGUUCACUUGAAGUCAAAUGUAAGUCUGUCCUAUCCAAUUUGAAAUCCUCAUGAUACAAGCCUUUCCUUUGUAACCAGUGUUGUUUACCAAACACACACACACAGAGUUUAUAGUAAAUUUGUUUCUUUGGUAUGUAGAUUUUACCCUAGUACAUUGUUUAGGUGAAGCUUUUAUUAGAUGUACUCAUAGCAUGAAUCCACACAGCAUUUAUAUAUUAUUUAUUUGUUCAUUUAUUUCAGAAAAUAGCCUAGUUCCAGGUAAUGAAUUUGUAUUGUGAGCUUUAAACACUCCAUAAUACUUUGCGAUGCUUUAUAUGUUUUUAUUUCAGGUUGCAGUGUCAUUACUGCCAUAGACAAUUGAAUCGUUGCUUUGUACAUAAAAUGAUUACCAGAUUACAGAAAUAUUUUGAUGAAUAUUGAUAAUGUAGUCAGUCUGGCAUUUUUAGUGUUGUUAUACCAUGGCUUGUACUUUUUUUCAGGUUCCUCAAACAUAGCAGCACCAACCUCACCCAACCUAGCUCCUAACAUCCCCAGUCCAAGUAAUUCACAAGUUGUCUCAUCCUCUUCUUCCUCUUCCCCAAUCCCAUCCUCACCUGUAUCAUCUCCAACCCAUCCAUCUUCUCCACUACUGCCACCUCUUUCUCCUCCUCCCCCUCCCCCUCCACAGUCUGCUAAGAUAGAUAUCGGUGAUGGGGGUAUUGCAUUACCUCCUGUGUCUCCUUUAGCACCUUCACCACAUGCUUUUGGCUUUUCGUCAGAUCCCUCUUCUGUAGUUACUGCAGCAACGGCAGCUUUACCAAAGUCAUCUGCAUCACCUUCUGUUUCACCUCCACCUCUACCAUCAUCAUCUCCCCCACCCCUACUCUCAUUAUCUUCAAUGUCAUCAGAGGUUCUAACAUCAGUGAGUAAUAAAAUUGUAGCUCCUCUGUCUAGCAUAGCCCCAGGUUUUUCUACUGUAACCUCUACACAAACUCAAGAUUGUAAUCCUACUGCAUCCCCGUCUGGUCCGCCUCCACCUCUACCUCUAUCUGAUCCUCCUAUUUUGCUGGCCCCUUUGGAUGGUGAAGAAUUAGAGCCCCCUCACUCCCCAUUAGAUGUAUCUACACCUCUUACCAUGGACGGAAUGACUGCCUUACAUCUAGCAGCACAAGGGAACAACUGGCAUGUUCCCAAGUACAGUCCAGAUAAUGGGGCUAUGUUGUCAAGAUGGUUGCAACUUCUUACAUGCUGCUAUAAAAUCGGAUGAAGUGGAAUGUAUAGAGGUUUUGGUGCAACAUAUAUUAGCAACAGAAUUAGGACCAAAUCUGUUGCAUCGUCUUGCCGGAGAACCAGACCAUCGUGGAAACACCCCACUUUCUUUCUUUGGCUUUAUCAGCAACCAACUCUCAUAUGGUGGCUGCCCUGAGUCAUGCAGGCCUUGAUUUACCAGCCUUACUUAGUCACAACCCCAAGCUUCUAAGUGUGGCAUCACCUGCAGCGCUAGCUUUUAUAUCAAACACAGACAGGAAUGAAUGCACUUGCUCCGUUUGGCUGGAAGGUAUAGAUAUUGACAGGCUUGUUGAAGGGGAUCCAGGAACUAGGAGUAAUGGAGAUGAUGGCUUUAUCAAAGAAGAAGGGAAGAGUAAUUGUCUUUGGGCCAUAGGAGCUGUGCGUGUCACUCCUGCGACUCUGUGGGCGGCCUUAGAGGAAACGUUGACAUCCCUUGCUCGCCAUCACUGGGAAGCCUUAGCAAGGACUCAAGGUUAUGGGCAGAACUCAACUGGCAGUUGUCGUCGUAACGCUCAACCUCGGGGGGAGAGAAGGCGAUCAGACCCAUUGCAAGAAGUUGAAGUGAGCGCAUCAUUCCUGGGGCUUAACAAGUCUGCUAUCAGUCAUUUUUCAAUUGGGCACCACAAGUGGAGUAGAGUGAGUUGAACAAGAUGUAUUUUUAGAAAAAUA